GAUCAUGGCUCAGGACGAACGCUGGCGGCGUGCUUAACACAUGCAAGUCGAACGAAAAGACGGAAAGAGCUUGCUCUUUUCAGAAUUGAGUGGCAAACGGGUGAGUAACACGUAAACAACCUGCCUUCAGGAUGGGGACAACAGACGGAAACGACUGCUAAUACCGAAUAAGUUCCAAGAGCCGCAUGGCCCAUGGAAGAAAAGGUAGCCUCUACCUGUAAGCUAUCGCCUGAAGAGGGGGUUUGCGU
Molecule: ribosomal RNA, 248 nt
Filed under: uncultured bacterium
Lineage: Bacteria
Description: partial 16S ribosomal RNA
Rfam family: Bacterial small subunit ribosomal RNA
Source: RNAcentral